Molecule: ribosomal RNA, 442 nt
Filed under: uncultured bacterium
Lineage: Bacteria
Description: partial 16S ribosomal RNA
Rfam family: Bacterial small subunit ribosomal RNA
Source: RNAcentral
CCUACGGGUGGCAGCAGUAGGGAAUCUUUCACAAUGGGCGAAAGCCUGAUGGAGCAACGCCGCGUGCAGGAUGAAGGCCUUCGGGUUGUAAACUGCUUUUAUAAGCGAGAAAUAUGAUGGUAACUUAUGAAUAAGGAGCGGCUAACUACGUGCCAGCAGCCGCGGUGAUACGUAGGAUCCGAGCAUUAUCCGGAGUAACUGGGUGUAAAUAGUUGCGUAGGUGGCAUAAUAAUUAGCUAGUGAAAACUGGUGGCUCAACCAUUCAGACUAUUAGCUAAAAUGUUAAGCUCGAGAUCGUUAGGGGUAACUGGAAGUUCUAGUGUAGGAGUGAAAUCCGUAGAUAUUAGAAGGAACACCAGUAGCGUAGGCAGGUUGCUGGGACGUUUCUGACACUAAGGCACGAAAGCGUAGGGAGCAAACGGGAUUAGAUACCCUAGUAGUC